CUGUCAGCUAGUCAGCUCGUC
Molecule: non-coding RNA, 21 nt
Filed under: Arabidopsis thaliana (thale cress)
Lineage: Eukaryota; Viridiplantae; Streptophyta; Magnoliopsida; Brassicales; Brassicaceae
Source: RNAcentral